Molecule: long non-coding RNA, 1130 nt
Organism: Cebus imitator (Panamanian white-faced capuchin)
Lineage: Eukaryota; Metazoa; Chordata; Mammalia; Primates; Cebidae
Exons: 3
Source: RefSeq, a predicted model, not a curated record
UCGACAACCUGGCAUUCAUCCCAAGACCCCUAAUAAAUUUAAGAAGUAUAGUCGACGUUCAUGGGACCAACAAAUCAAACUCUGGAAGGUGGCUCUGCAUUUUUGGGAUCCUCCUGCUGAAGAAGGAUGUGAUUUGCAAGAAAUACACCCUGUAGACCUUGAAUCUGCAGAAAGCAGCUCCGAGCCCCAGACAAGCUCUCAGGAUGACUUUGACAUGUACUCUGGCACACCCACUAAAGUUAGACACAUGGACAGUCAAGCGGAGGACGAGUUUGAUUUGGAAGCUUGUUUAACUGAACCCUUGAGAGACUUCUCUGCCAUGAGCUAACUGCCACCUGGCGGCCAGGAAGAGAAACAGUUCCUCCCAGACCAGGUGGAAGGAUGGCCAGGCGCCAAGCAUGUGUGUGCACUUGUACCUGGUGGUUUCUCUGUUAGUAGUCCAUUAUUUCAUGACGAAUUGUUAUUUUUGCCUUACUUUCUUAAGAAACAUUAAUUUUAUGUAUAGUGAGUGUAUUUUGCAUGUUUUAAAAUUGUAAAUGGAGCUAAAUCCAAGCAAGGUUAUACUUAAAGCAAUCUUCCAGCAAGCGUAAUUGCUUAAUUCCUAUCGUCCUCCAAGAUGAGCAGACAAGUAUACUUAACUAGUUUUCCACAGGCAUCUUAAGUUGCUGCUUGUGAGAUGAAUUGUUUUGGAUUUAACCAUGUAAUCUGUGGGACCACUUGAGAGUCAGCUACUUUUAUAGGCACCAGACAAAGUACUCUGUCAGACACCUUUAAUAUCUUCAUGGAGACUUAAUUUUUGGCCUUUUAUCAAUAUGUCACAGCAGAGCUCUGAAGUCAGAUCAUUCUUAAAUUUAGCUGUUAAACUAAUGGGUUUUAUGUAAAUUAUACAGUCUUAAUUUGGUACUUGUAAAUAGCACUAGUCAGGCUCUUUAUAAUACUCUAAGAGUUGGGGCGGCAGAGCGAUUUAGAAAGAACAUUUUUAAACAGUUAAGUUACCUGUAAAAUUGCUGUAAAUGAUGAUGUGUACAGAUUUUCUGUUUAUUCAUUUGUAAACUUCUUGUUAAGACUGUUAUGUUUCUAUUGCUUUUGUAUGGGAUAUUGCAAAAAUAAAAAGAACCCUCUUUAACUGA